Molecule: ribosomal RNA, 538 nt
Filed under: Kodamaea ohmeri
Lineage: Eukaryota; Fungi; Ascomycota; Pichiomycetes; Serinales; Debaryomycetaceae
Description: partial large subunit ribosomal RNA
Rfam family: Eukaryotic large subunit ribosomal RNA
Source: RNAcentral
AAAAAACCAAAAGUAGGAAAAGGAACCAACAGGGAUUGCCUCAGUAACGGCGAGUGAAGCGGCAAAAGCUCAAAUUUGAAAUCCCCCCGGGGAGUUGUAAUUUGAAGAUUGCGUCUUGGAGGCGACCGUGUCUAUGUUCCUUGGAACAGGACGUCACAGAGGGUGAGAAUCCCGUGCGGCACGGCCCCCGGCUCCUUAUAAGGCGCUCUCGACGAGUCGAGUUGUUUGGGAAUGCAGCUCAAAGUGGGUGGUAAAUUCCAUCUAAAGCUAAAUACAGGCGAGAGACCGAUAGCGAACAAGUACAGUGAUGGAAAGAUGAAAAGCACUUUGAAAAGAGAGUGAAACAGCACGUGAAAUUGUUGAAAGGGAAGGGCAUGCCGUCAGAUUGUCAGUGUGGGUAAGAAGCGGGGUACAAAGACUGUGGAACGUGGCCCUCGGGUGUUAUAGCCGCAGUUCAUGCCCCGUCUCUUUCCGAGGCCUGCUUUGAGGACACCGACGUAAUGACGGUACGCCGCCCGUCUUAAAAACCGGGACCAAA